RNAcentral lists this unclassified non-coding RNA (346 nucleotides) under soil metagenome. RNAcentral describes it as "partial contains 5.8S ribosomal RNA, internal transcribed spacer 2, and large subunit ribosomal RNA". The stretch from base 5 to 119 matches the Rfam family "5.8S ribosomal RNA", at positions 40 to 154 of the family's 154-position model. The record is from RNAcentral.
GAUGAGAACGUAGUGAAAUGCGAUAAUUAAUGUGAAUUGCAGAAUUCAGUGAAUCAUCGAGUCUUUGAACGCACAUUGCGCCCCCUGGUAUUCCGGGGGGCAUGCCUGUCCGAGCGUCAUUGCUGCCCUCAAGCACGGCUUGUGUGUUGGGCUUCCGUCCCUGGCAACGGGGACGGGCCCAAAAGGCAGUGGCGGCACCAUGUCUGGUCCUCGAGCGUAUGGGGCUUUGUCACCCGCUCCCGUAGGUCCAGCUGGCAGCUAGCCUCGCAACCAAUCUUUUUAACCAGGUUGACCUCGGAUCAGGUAGGGAUACCCGCUGAACUUAAGCAUAUCAAUAAGCGGAGGA